This 433-nucleotide ribosomal RNA is filed under the name uncultured bacterium. RNAcentral describes it as "partial 16S ribosomal RNA". It matches the Rfam family "Bacterial small subunit ribosomal RNA", at positions 29 to 507 of the family's 1533-position model. The record is from RNAcentral.
AGCGAACGCUGGCGGCAGGCCUAACACAUGCAAGUCGAACGAACUCUUCGGAGUUAGUGGCGGACGGGUGAGUAACACGUGGGAACGUGCCUUUAGGUUCGGAAUAACUCAGGGAAACUUGUGCUAAUACCGAAUGUGCCCUUCGGGGGAAAGAUUUAUCGCCUUUAGAGCGGCCCGCGUCUGAUUAGCUAGUUGGUGAGGUAAAGGCUCACCAAGGCGACGAUCAGUAGCUGGUCUGAGAGGAUGAUCAACCACAUUGGGACUGAGACACGGCCCAAACUCCUACGGGAGGCAGCAGUGGGGAAUCUUGCGCAAUGGGCGAAAGCCUGACGCAGCCAUGCCGCGUGAAUGAUGAAGGUCUUAGGAUUGUAAAAUUCUUUCACCGGGGACGAUAAUGACGGUACCCGGAGAAGAAGCCCCGGCUAACUUCGUG